RNAcentral lists this ribosomal RNA (450 nucleotides) under uncultured organism. Its description in RNAcentral is "partial 16S ribosomal RNA". It matches the Rfam family "Bacterial small subunit ribosomal RNA", at positions 333 to 799 of the family's 1533-position model. The record is from RNAcentral.
ACACUCCUACGGGAGGCAGUAGUGGGGAAUAUUGGACAAUGGGCGCAAGCCUGAUCCAGCCAUGCCGCGUGAGUGAUGAAGGCCCUAGGGUUGUAAAGCUCUUUUGUGCGGGAAGAUAAUGACGGUACCGCAAGAAUAAGCCCCGGCUAACUUCGUGCCAGCAGCCGCGGUAAUACGAAGGGGGCUAGCGUUGCUCGGAAUCACUGGGCGUAAAGGGUGCGUAGGCGGGUCUUUAAGUCAGGGGUGAAAUCCUGGAGCUCAACUCCAGAACUGCCUUUGAUACUGAAGAUCUUGAGUUCGGGAGAGGUGAGUGGAACUGCGAGUGUAGAGGUGAAAUUCGUAGAUAUUCGCAAGAACACCAGUGGCGAAGGCGGCUCACUGGCCCGAUACUGACGCUGAGGCACGAAAGCGUGGGGAGCAAACAGGAUUAGAUACCCCUGUAGUCCCAUG